AUGACAGGUGAAUCAGAGCGCGCGUCACGAGCCGUCACGAGAGAGCGCCAGAAUUCAAAUAAACAAUCUUCCGCCUAUCUUUCACUUUAUUUAUUUAUUUAUUUAUUUAUUGUGUAUCAUCUCAUUCUGUUUGUGACACUGUAUGCUACAAAACCAUGCCAUUUUUUUACUACCAAGACGCAGUUUCUGAGCGUGAGUUAUUCAAUAACAGACACAAACAAUGCUGUCCUGCUUCAUUGGACUAAACGUGCUCCAUGAGAUGUCAUUCAGUGGACCCUCACCUUUCUAACUAAACCGGGAUUUACAGCUGUGGAUGUGUUUAUGACUCAUUAUUACGACGAAUCUGGUAUGUACUGCGUUUUCAUUCUUCAUAUUUUGAUGUGUACUGCUUACACAAAUUUAGCAAAUACAUUCUUUAUAAGCUUUCCAUUGAAAAACAGCAAUCUGUCAUUGAUGCUUGAGGCUUAGAUCUUUAUAAUGAUAUAUAGUUUGUCAAGAUUAAUUUGUCCCGUUUCAUUUAAACUAUUCGUAAAUAUUGACACGUGCAAACAAGGGGAUUUGAGGACGCCGGCGUCUAGGUGCAGGUUAACAGGCUAAUACACAUGGCUCACUGAAAUUAAUCAGUCUCUGUGAUCCCUCAAUCUUUAUGUUGCAUCAAAAAGUUAGGUUACAACUGAACAGUCUGAACAACACAAACACAUUAGAUGUCCGCUAUGCAGUCUGAGAUCUGCACAGCUACCAUUGGAUCAUCUGGUUGAAAUGAGAGCACGUGCUGUGUGUCAUCAGCAUAGCAAUGGUAGGAGAAACCAUGUGCCUGAAUGAUGGGUCCCAGUGAAGUAUUGUAUAUGGGGAAGAGGAGGGGUCCGAGAACUGAUCCCUGAGGAACCUCAAUGACCAGAUGAUGUGCUUUGGAUACCUCUCCUCCCCAGGCCACCCUGAAAGACAGAUGAAAUAGGAUUCAAACCAGCGAAGUGGGAUCCCUCUAAUGCCCAGUAAAAAGAGGGUGGACAGGAGGAUCUGAUGAUUCACAGUGUCAAAAGCGGCAGAUAGAUCCAGCAGAAUGAGAACCGAUGAUUUGGAAUCAGCUUUGCUAUCUGCAAGGCUUCAAUAACUAACAGUAAUGCAGUCUCAGUUAAAUGGCCACUUCGGAAACCUGACUGUUUAUUUGGUUAGAGUUGGUUAGCCAAUAGAGUUGGUUAUUCUGUGAAUGAAAUAUGAUACCUGGUUGAAAACAACUGGUUCAGGUGGUUAUUUAUGUAUUUAUGGAGAAGGUGUGAGGGGAUUGGGUCUAGAGGGCAUGUUGUAUGAUGGCUAGAGAGGAGAGGUUUUGAUACUUCUGCCUCAGUGAAGGGACAGAAGGAGAAGAUGGGAGUUUUAGCAGUGGAUGUGGUUGGUUUGAGUUCCUGUGUGUGUGGAGCUGAGAACUGACUGCUGAUGGUUUUAGUUUGGUCUGUGAAGAAUGCAGCAAAAUCAUCAGCAGUUAAAGAGGUGGUGGAGGGGGACAGAGGAGGGUACUGAAUGUUUUGAAGAGAUUAAGUGUGUCUGAAGCAUGUUUAUCUUGUUGUGGAAAUAUGAAGAGUUGGUAGAACGGACUUAACAGAGAAAGAAGAAAGCAGAGACUGAUACAUAUUCAGGUCCGAUGGAUCUUUUGAUUUGUGCCAUUUUCUCUCUUCUGCCCUGAGUUUGAAGAACAUCAGAUAGCCAGGUGUUAGAAGUGGUAGCACGUGCCGGCCUGGAGGAGAGAGGAGAUACAUCGUCUAGACAAGAGGUUAAAGAGGAGCAUAAAGUGUCAGUUGCUGCCUUCACAUCCAGAGAUGAGAAAUAGGUGAGGGAAGAAAGGAUGACACUACAGGGGAAAGAUGGGAGGGUGAAAGGGAGCAUAAGUUUCACCUAAAAGCAGUAGAGGAGUUGGUGGCACACAGGUAGCAGGAUGUAGGUUGAAUGUUAUAUAAAGAAGUUAUCAGAGAUGUGGAGGGGUUUGACCAAAAUGUUGUCUGCAAUACAACUGCAUGAGUAAAUUAAGUCAAGCUGGUUGCCUAAUUUGUGAGUGUUUGUGGUGGUAAGCCGUUUGAGAUCAAAUUAAUUUAGGAGUGAAUGGAAUUCUGCAGCGUAAGGCUUCUCCAGAUGGAUGUUGAAGUCGCCAAAGACUGCAAGUGGACUGCCAUGCACAGAGAAUGAGGACAGCAGGCCAUCCACCUCCUCUAUAAAGGUGCCCAGUUGACCAGGGGGGUGAUAGAUUACUACAACAUGGAGUUCUAUAAGAGUUAUUACCGUAAUAGCAUGAGAUGAUUCAAAUGAGUUAUUAUUGCACGGGGGAGAGUAUUUCCAGUUGUUAGAAAUGAGGAAACCAGUACCCCCACCCCUUCCAACCUGACGGGGUGUGAGAGAAAGAGAAGUUGUUAGAAAGAGCAGCAGGGAUUGCUGAGUUUUCUGGAUGAAUCCAGGACUCAGUCAAGCCCAAGAUACUAAGAGUAGACUGUGAAGCAAUUGCUGGAAUGCUUUGUUGACGGCUGACUGACAAUUCCAGAGACCCACAGAAAAAGAGAGAGGUGCAGAUAGUACACAGGUUAACAAGAUUGCAUUGCCACCUGCAUUUGACAUUUGAGCAUUGUUGAGAGACAACAGGAAUGUACUGGAAAGACAGGAUAGAUGUGGGAAAGAGAGGGCAAAAAGGAACGUGUGUUGAAAGGAAAAUGAAAGAUAAGUGUAUUGUCGUUGUCCUUGCUCGGUGGAGUUGGAUUUUGCGGGAAAUACAAUGUUCAUCUUGUUGGAAACUCAGAAACGAAGACCAGGAGACUCUUGGGUAAUCUUCAGCAGCAUUCUUUAUUGAGAACGCUCUGCUCAGCGCUACAGUCAUCAAAAGUCUAACCAAAGCAGUGAUACUUUGGAGUUUAUAUACAUUUCAAGGGGGCGGGAUACACAGAGGUGGAGACAACCUAAACAAAGCAUGCAAAUGCAAUACAGGGAUCGGCCUGAUACUGGUCAUUUCCCCAUCUUUGAUCUUGUCAGCAUAACAGUGUCAUUUAAAUACAGAGGUGCCAGACAGUAUCACUGAUACCUUCACAUUACCAUAGAGACAAAGGCACAACUGUGCCUUGAGUUUAGCAGGCACCUUUAUCUUGGGACCUUGCACUAUAGUCAGGAAGUGCAUGAAGACAAAAGGUUAAUGUCUCAGAAACCUGAUUUUCCUGAUUUGAUCUUCUUGGAUAUGUCAGCUUUAUUACCUCAAAAUGUCUACUAUUAUAUUGGAAUCUAGAUUUAACAUUUUAUAAAUUUGUAAUCCCACAAUCUCAUGUUCAUAAACACAGAAGAAGGUCCGGAUACUAUAUCAAGUGUUGGCAGGUAAUUAUAGCUUGUUGCUACAAUAAAUAGUGCUGUUUCAUAGGGUUUGAACUAGCCAACUAACUUGAAUUGAACAUAGUCUAAAUAACAAGUCUGGGAAUUAUCCGUUGGCAAACAGCGGAGAUCAAAAACUGUAAGUGACAGAGCUCGAGCUUGUGCCAAAGUAGUAAUAGUACAUAUGACAUUUCUUCUGAUAACUUGCUUACUUCUUACUGUCAGUGGGUCUUGCUGCAGCGUGACCAGUGCUUGAAGUGGGACGGUACGCACCAGUACACAGUAUCAGCGCUUCUAUAUUUUAGACUUUAGAGUACCUGCACUUUUUUGUGCAUACCGCCACUUCUGACAUGUUGCUGAUUGUCUAUGUAAAAGCAUCAGUGUCUAGGUCAUUAGAAAUGACACUAUAUAAAUCACACCCAGGCAGGAUCAGCUCUCAUCUCAACCAAUCACGUGAGCGAAUUCAAGCGGAAUAUGUCUACCUCAUGUGUGGGGUGCCAGAGCAUAUCAGGGGAGGCGCGUAGAGUAGUAUAAUUUAAUGAAUGAAUUAAUUUAAAAUAAUUAAUUAUUGAUUACUAAUUUGAAACAGUACUUUAUAAUGAAAAUGAUAACUUAAAAAUGAAAAGAAACCUUUUGCGAUUACAUAAUUUUAAACCGGUAAACUCCUGGGAAGUCCAAGGAUCCAGUAAGUGAAUUCAGUUAGCAAGUUCAAAACAGCGCUAAUGCAGAGAAAACAUGGCUGAUUUCAUCAGAGACUGCAGAGAGAAUAGUGACUUAUGUCCAGAUGUCAUUAAAUUAUUCUGUUCAGCAUGUAUUUGGCUUAAAAGUGUGAGUACAUGCACUUCUUUUUUUCUCCCAUUUCAAGCACUGAGCGUGACAGAUCUGCUCUGAUACGGUGAUCAUCAGAAAUCAUGAUUCCUCAAACCUCAGAUUCAUGAGGAUGAUGAGGAAGCAUGACUGGCCUCAAAGUAUUACUACAGGAAUAAUGCAAGUCUAUAAUGUAAAAUAAUGCAAGUCUAAUAAUGCAACACACUUUCUUUGUUUUAU
Long non-coding RNA from Cyprinus carpio carpio, 4383 nucleotides. The record is from Ensembl. NCBI's taxonomy places the organism in Eukaryota, Metazoa, Chordata, Actinopteri, Cypriniformes, Cyprinidae.